RNAcentral lists this ribosomal RNA (1080 nucleotides) under 'Allium cepa' phytoplasma. RNAcentral's name for it is "bacterial SSU rRNA". It matches the Rfam family "Bacterial small subunit ribosomal RNA", at positions 248 to 1337 of the family's 1533-position model. Lineage: Bacteria; Bacillati; Mycoplasmatota; Mollicutes; Acholeplasmatales; Acholeplasmataceae. The record is from RNAcentral.
GUUGGUAGGGUAAUGGCCUACCAAGCCGAUGAUGUGUAGCUGGACUGAGAGGUUGAACAGCCACAUUGGGACUGAGACACGGACCAAACUCCUACGGGAGGCAGCAGUAGGGAAUUUUCGGCAAUGGAGGAAACUCUGACCGAGCAACGCCGCGUGAAUGACGAAGUACUUCGGUAUGUAAAGUUCUUUUAUCAAGGAAGAAAAGCAAAUGGCGAACCAUUUGUUUGCCGGUACUUGAUGAAUAAGCCCCGGCUAAUUAUGUGCCAGCAGCCGCGGUAAGACAUAAGGGGCAAGUGUUAUCCGGAAUUAUUGGGCGUAAAGGGUGCGUAGGCGGUCUAGUAAGUCAGUGGUGUAAUGGCAACGCUUAACGUUGUCCGGCUAUUGAAACUGCUAAACUUGAGUUAGAUAGAGGCGAGUGGAAUUCCAUGUGUAGCGGUAAAAUGCGUAAAUAUAUGGAGGAACACCAGAGGCGUAGGCGGCUCGCUGGGUCUUAACUGACGCUGAGGCACGAAAGCGUGGGGAGCAAACAGGAUUAGAUACCCUGGUAGUCCACGCCGUAAACGAUGAGUACUAAGUGUCGGGUUAAACCGGUACUGAAGUUAACACAUUAAGUACUCCGCCUGAGUAGUACGUACGCAAGUAUGAAACUUAAAGGAAUUGACGGGACUCCGCACAAGCGGUGGAUCAUGUUGUUUAAUUCGAAGAUACCCGAAAAACCUUACCAGGUCUUGACAUGUUUUUGCAAAAUGAUAGUAAUAUCGUGGAGGUUACCAGAAACACAGGUGGUGCAUGGUUGUCGUCAGCUCGUGUCGUGAGAUGUUAGGUUAAGUCCUAAAACGAGCGAAACCCUUAUCGUUAGUUGCCAGCACGUUAUGGUGGGGACUUUAACGAGACUGCCAAUGAUAAAUUGGAGGAAGGUGAGGAUCACGUCAAAUCAGCAUGCCCCUUAUGACCUGGGCUACAAACGUGAUACAAUGGCUGUUACAAAGGGUAGCUGAAACGCAAGUUCUUGGCCAAUCCCCAAAAACAGUCCCAGUCCGGAUUGAAGUCUGCACUCGACUUCUUGAAGUUGGAUCCCUA